RNAcentral lists this ribosomal RNA (465 nucleotides) under uncultured bacterium. RNAcentral's name for it is "partial 16S ribosomal RNA". It matches the Rfam family "Bacterial small subunit ribosomal RNA", at positions 28 to 507 of the family's 1533-position model. The record is from RNAcentral.
GACGAACGCUGGCGGCGUGCUUAACACAUGCAAGUCGAACGGAAAGGCCCUGCUUGCAGGGUACUCGAGUGGCGAACGGGUGAGUAACACGUGGGUGAACUGCCCUGCACUUCGGGAUAAGCCUGGGCAACUGGGUCUAAUACCGGCUAGGAGCCAUUUUUAGCGUGAUGGUUGGAAAGUUUUUUAGGUGUUGGAUGAGAUCGCGGCCUAACUGCUUGUUGGUGGGGUUAUGUCCUACCAAGGCGGCGUCGGGUAGCCGGCCUGUGAGGGUGGACGGCCACAUUGGGACUGAGAUGCGGCCCAGACACCUACGGGAGGCAGCAGUGGGGAAGAUUGCACGAUGGGCGCAAGCCUGAUGCAGCGACGCCGCGGGGGGGAAGACUGCCUUCGGGUUGUAAACUCCUUUCGCUAGGGACGAAGCUUUUUGUGACGGUACCUAGAUAAGAAGCACCGGCUAACUACGUG